RNAcentral lists this ribosomal RNA (93 nucleotides) under Paenibacillus sp. JJ-100. The record is from RNAcentral. Lineage: Bacteria; Bacillati; Bacillota; Bacilli; Caryophanales; Paenibacillaceae.
GGUUCCACACGUACCCAUCCCGAACACGACCGUUAAGCCCUCUAGCGCCGAUGGUACUUGGACCGCAGGGUCCUGGGAGAGUAGGAAGCCGCC